UACGAGGGGUGCAAGCGUUGCUCGGAAUUAUUGGGCGUAAAGGGUAGGUAGGUGGUCUCAUUUGUCUGGGGUGAAAGCCUUGAGCUUAACUCGAGAAGUGCCCCGGAAACGGUGAGACUGGAGUCCUGGAGAGGGUCGUGGAAUUCCCGGUGUAGCGGUGAAAUGCGUAGAGAUCGGGAGGAACACCAGUGGCGAAGGCGGUUGCCUGGGGCUUUGCUGACGCUGAUGCGCGAAAGCGUGGGGAGCGAUCCGG
This 253-nucleotide ribosomal RNA is filed under the name uncultured bacterium. RNAcentral describes it as "partial 16S ribosomal RNA". It matches the Rfam family "Bacterial small subunit ribosomal RNA", at positions 524 to 776 of the family's 1533-position model. The record is from RNAcentral.